This 461-nucleotide ribosomal RNA is filed under the name uncultured bacterium. RNAcentral's name for it is "partial 16S ribosomal RNA". It matches the Rfam family "Bacterial small subunit ribosomal RNA", at positions 338 to 795 of the family's 1533-position model. The record is from RNAcentral.
CCUACGGGUGGCAGCAGUGAGGAAUAUUGGUCAAUGGGCGGGAGCCUGAACCAGCCAAGUCGCGUGAGGGAAGACGGUCCUACGGAUUGUAAACCUCUUUUGCCGGGGAGCAACGGGGUCCUUGCGAGGGCCCGAUGAGAGUACCCGGAGAAAAAGCAUCGGCUAACUCCGUGCCAGCAGCCGCGGUAAUACGGAGGAUGCGAGCGUUAUCCGGAUUUACUGGGUGUAAAGGGCGUGUAGGCGGGACUGCAAGUCAGAUGUGAAAACCACGGGCUCAACCUGUGGCCUGCAUUUGAAACUGUAGUUCUUGAGUACUGGAGAGGCAGACGGAAUUCCUAGUGUAGCGGUGAAAUGCGUAGAUAUUAGGAGGAACACCAGUGGCGAAGGCGGUCUGCUGGACAGCAACUGACGCUGAGGCGCGAAAGCGUGGGGAGCAAACAGGAUUAGAUACCCCAGUAGUC